Molecule: ribosomal RNA, 251 nt
Filed under: uncultured bacterium
Lineage: Bacteria
Description: partial 16S ribosomal RNA
Rfam family: Bacterial small subunit ribosomal RNA
Source: RNAcentral
UACGUAAGAGGCAAGCGUUGUCCGGAAUACUGGGCGUAAAGCGCGUGUAGGUGGUGGGACAAGUCUGCUGUGAAAGUGCCUGGCUUACCGGGCGAGGUCGGCGGAAACUGUCCGACUCGAGGACGGUAGAGGGGGUGGAAUUCCCGGUGUAGUGGUGAAAUGCGUAGAGAUCGGGAGGAACACCUGUGGCGAAGGCGGCCCCCUGGGCCGGCCCUGACACUGAGACGCGAAGGCGUGGGGAGCGAACGGGG